This 2798-nucleotide unclassified non-coding RNA is filed under the name Dimorphilus gyrociliatus. RNAcentral's name for it is "tyrosine aminotransferase". Lineage: Eukaryota; Metazoa; Annelida; Polychaeta; Dinophilidae. The record is from RNAcentral.
CAGUGCCAUCUACCGCCAUAUACCAAGGUAGCUCUCUUUAUAGUAUUCAAUUUAUGUUGUCUUCACAGUACCAUAGGGUCAAAACGUGCGACGACGUUGUAAGUAUAAAGCUAUUUUAAACACUUUCUAUCAUAUUCCGAAACGACAGAAUUAAAAAUUGAGGGCAAUGUCUUAUAAUUUCGAACAAAUUCUCCAAUGAAACUCGAGAAGGUGAAAUCUACAAGUUAACUCUUUUUGCGCUGUACAUUCUAUUGACUCUUUUCUAAAUUUUUGCAUGUUUCAGUUUAUUUAAAGAUCGAUUUUCAAUAUAUGUCUGCAUAAUAUUAGAUGCUGUUGUUUAAGGUCAUCUCUAAAGAUGUACGAUAAUUAAUUUCUCUGAGAAUGCUAUAAUUGUUACUGUUAAUUUUAGAUCUUAUAUAAAAUAUUGUUCACUGACGACUUGUUUAGUUAACCUUAAAAAACACAGCAACUUCUUCUUACUCCAAUUGUUCCGUUGUUAUAAGAUCUUAUAAACGAGGUCUAUUAUAUAACUAUUUUCCAUUUUGUUUCUUAGAUGCUAUGUUUAAAGAUAGUCAGUAAAAAAUUUGCUAUAGUUUACUUUUCUGAAAAACAUUGUUCAUAGAUGUUAAUUUACGAACUUCUCUCAAAUUUUAUUGUUAAACACCUUGUUUAGUUAACCUUAAAAAGUCUUCAGAGUUCGAUUGUUUCUUAACGCGUUGACAUUUGAAAACAGGGCUAUUAUAUAAAUAUUCUUUGUCUUUUUCUUUAAAUCUCUUAAUUAUCCUUCUUAUUUGUUUAUGAAAUUAUGUAAUUUACUUGGAAACGCUAAACCUUCAACUUGUUAAUGAAUAUGAAUUUCGAUUUUUUUUGGAAAUUGUAAUGUUCUAUAGCGGAAAAUCGCUCCACAUCUGGUUUUCUUUCGUAUAGGAAUUUUAUCGAUCAUAUCUCAAAACCAAACAAUGUUAUGCAAAGUUUUUUCUUGUCCUAUUACUAUGUUAAAUAUAAUUUUAUGUGUCAGUGAAGCUUUAGUACUAUCGUUAUCAGGUUUUUCAAGGACAAUUUGUGAUUAAAAUCUUUUUUUUGUAGCAAAAUAUGGAUGCUAAAAUACUGAAAAAAAAAUGCUCAAGAUCAACUGAUUCAUGGAAUCUCGAAGUGUCUACUAUUGCAAAGAACACCUUCAAUCCCAUAAGAGCACUAGUAGACCAAAUGAAACUUACUCCUAAUCCCGAGAAAUCUAUGAUCGCUUUGUCAAUUGGCGAUCCUACUGUUUUUGGUAAUUUAAAACCGGCAGAUAAUGUUGUUCAAGCAAUUGUAGAUUCUGUAAAAUCGGAAAAAUGGAACGGUUAUCUACCUUCGAUAGGCGCCGAAUCAGCUAGAGAUGCCGUUGCCCAAUAUGCGAGGAGAGAGAAUGCACCUUUAACAGCUAAGGACGUGAUCCUUACCUCUGGUGCAUCGGGAGCAUUAGAUAUCUGCAUAACAGCCUUGGCUAAUCCAGGCGAUAAUAUACUUGUUCCAAAACCAGGCUUUUCUUUGUAUAAAACCCUCGCAGAUUCUCUAGGUAUUCAGGUUCGUCACUAUAAUUUACUUCCCGAUAAAGGUUGGGAAGUAGAUACCAAUCAUUUAAUAAGUCUUUUAGACGAAAGAACGGCAGCAAUUGUAUUGUGUAAUCCAUCGAAUCCUUGCGGUUCGGUCUAUUCUAAGAAACACUUAGAAACAGUUUUGGGAGUUUGUGAGGAGUUUAAGUUGCCCGUUAUUGCGGAUGAAAUUUAUGCCGAUUUUACUUUUCCGGAUCAAACGUUUCAUUCCAUGGCAAGCGUGAACCAGAAUAUUCCGAUAUUAUCUUGUGGUGGUCUAACUAAACGCUGGCUUAUACCGGGCUGGAGAAUGGGAUGGAUUUGUAUUAACGAUACCCAAAACAAAUUUCCCGAAUUACGAAAAGGGCUUGUGGCCCUAUCUCAGAGGAUCUUAGGACCUAAUUCUGUUACACAAGGCGCUUUAGAGUGUAUUCUAAUGAAUACUCCUCAAGAGUUUUAUGAUUCAACUUGUCAAACUGUUGCCAGACAUGCAAAGAUCUUAUACGACAUCUUCUUGGAAUGUCCCGGCCUAAAGCCUGUUAUGCCACAGGGAGCCAUGUACAUGAUGGUUGGAAUCAACCUAUCAUCUUUCCCAGACUAUAAAAAUGAAGUUGAAUUUACCGAAAAUUUAGUAACAGAACAGUCUGUGUUCUGUUUACCUGCUUCCUGUUUUCAGUAUCCAGGAUAUUUCAGAGUUGUUCUAACGGUCCCUGAAAAUAAACUUCUAGAAGCAGGGAAUAGAAUUCGUCAAUUCUGCUAUGAUCACUUUUCAAAAGAAAGGAAUGGCAAAUCAUCGUAGAUUUGGAAUGAAAAUAAGUUUUUGUCCAGUUUAGUUAAUUUUUCAUUGUUUGUUUUCUUUGCGUACUUUUAUAUAAAAUAGUACGAUUAGGAUUUGAUUGUUAUGGUACAACAUGCUUUAAAGCACAUUGUGUCCUCCCUUCUGAAACGAAAUUAAUAUUUGCUUGAAAUCUAAAAUAAAACAGUUUUAAUUACAAUUAUGUACAUUUACUUUAAAUGCUCUGCAAUAUGGUGUUUUAACUUACCCCAUUGUUUUAUAACUAUGCAAUGUUAAAAGAUAUAGCAUAAACCUCUAAGUUUUGUUCAGAUAUAUUCUCAUUUCAAUAAAUUGUUUAGAGAGGUUACGCGAGUGUUUCUGUUAUUUUUGCGACCUAUUAAACUUUCAUUUAUUGUCUUUCAAAGUCAAAUUUAGCAAGGACAAUCACG